This 345-nucleotide unclassified non-coding RNA is filed under the name soil metagenome. RNAcentral describes it as "partial contains 5.8S ribosomal RNA, internal transcribed spacer 2, and large subunit ribosomal RNA". The stretch from base 1 to 120 matches the Rfam family "5.8S ribosomal RNA", at positions 35 to 154 of the family's 154-position model. The record is from RNAcentral.
GAUGAAGAACGCAGCGAAAUGCGAUACGUAAUGUGAAUUGCAGAAUUCAGUGAAUCAUCGAGUCUUUGAACGCACAUUGCGCCCCCUGGUAUUCCGGGGGGCAUGCCUGUCCGAGCGCCAUUGCUGCCCUCAAGCACGGCUUGUGUGUUGGGCCUCCGUCCUCCUCCCGGGGGACGGGCCCGAAAGGCAGCGGCGGCACCGCGUCCGGUCCUCGAGCGUAUGGGGCUUCGUCACCCGCUCUUGUAGGCCCGGCCGGCGCUUGCCGACACAUCAAUCUUUUUUCCAGGUUGACCUCGGAUCAGGUAGGGAUACCCGCUGAACUUAAGCAUAUCAAUAAGCAGAGGA